ACCAAGCUUCCAGGAAAAGCCACUAAGCUUCAGUCUAGAGUUGACCGUACCGCAAACCGACACAGGUGGGCAGGAUGAAAAUUCUAAGGCGCUUGAGAGAACUCAGGAGAAGGAACUCGGCAAAUUAACACCGUAACUUCGGGAGAAGGUGUGCCCCGGUAGCGUGUAGAGACUUGCUCUCGAAGCGCGAUGGGGUUGCAGUGAAAUGGUGGCUGCGACUGUUUAAUAAAAACACAGCACUCUGCAAACACGAAAGUGGACGUAUAGGGUGUGACGCCUGCCCGGUGCCGGAAGGUUAAGUGAUGGGGUGCAAGCUCUUGAUCGAAGCCCCGGUAAACGGCGGCCGUAACAAUAACGGUCCUAAGGUAGCGAAAUUCCUUGUCGGGUAAGUUCCGACCUGCACGAAUGGCGUAACGAUGGCCACACUGUCUCCUCCUGGGACUCAGCGAAGUUGAAAUGUUUGUGAAGAUGCAAUCUACCCGCGGCUAGACGGAAAGACCCCAUGAACCUUUACUGUAGCUUUGCAUUGGACUUUGAACCGGUUUGUGUAGGAUAGGUGGGAGACUGUGAAGCCGGGACGCUAGUUUCGGUGGAGUCAACCUUGAAAUACCACCCUGAUUUGUUUGAGGUUCUAACCUUGGUCCGUGAAUCCGGAUCGGGGACCGUGCAUGGUAGGCAGUUUGACUGGGGCGGUCUCCUCCCAAAAGGUAACGGAGGAGUACGAAGGUACGCUUAGGGCGGUCGGACAUCGCCCACAAAGUGCAAUGGCAAAAGCGUGCUUGACUGCGAGACCCACAAGUCGAGCAGGUACGAAAGUAGGUCAUAGUGAUCCGGUGGUUCUGUAUGGAAGGGCCAUCGCUCAACGGAUAAAAGGUACUCUGGGGAUAACAGGCUAAUUCCUCCCAAGAGUUCAUAUCGACGGGGGAGUUUGGCACCUCGAUGUCGGCUCAUCACAUCCUGGGGCUGUAGUCGGUCCCAAGGGUAUGGCUGUUCGCCAUUUAAAGUGGUACGCGAGCUGGGUUUAAAACGUCGUGAGACAGUUUGGUCCCUAUCUGCCGUGGGCGCUGGAAAUUUGAAGGGGGCUGCUCCUAGUACGAGAGGACCGGAGUGGACGAACCUCUGGUGUACCGGUUAUGACGCCAGUCGUAUCGCCGGGUAGCUAAGUUCGGAAGAGAUAAACGCUGAAAGCAUCUAAGCGUGAAACUCGCCUUAAGAUAAGAUUUCCCGGAGUCUC
RNAcentral lists this ribosomal RNA (1234 nucleotides) under metagenome. Its description in RNAcentral is "bacterial LSU rRNA". It matches the Rfam family "Bacterial large subunit ribosomal RNA", at positions 1599 to 2823 of the family's 2925-position model. The record is from RNAcentral.